GACGAACGCUGGCGGCGUGCCUAAUACAUGCAAGUCGAGCGCAGGAAGCCGUCUGAGCCCUUCGGGGGGCCGACGGUGGAAUGAGCGGCGGACGGGUGAGGAACACGUAAAGAACCUGCCCAUAGGUAUGGGAUAACCACGAGAAAUCGGGGCUAAUACCGGAUGUGUCAUCGGACCGCAUGGUCCGCUGCUGACAGACGCUCCGGCGUCGCCCAUGGAUGGCUUUGCGGUGCAUUGGCUAGUUGGUGGGGUAACGGCCCACCAAGGCGACGAUGCAUAGCCGGCCUGGGGGGGUGAUCGGCCACACUGGGACUGAGAAACGGCCCAGACUCCUACGGGAGGCAGCAGUAGGGAAUCUUCCACAAUGGACGAAAGUCUGAUGGAGCAACGCCGCGUGAACGAUGAAGGCUUUCGGGUCGUAAAGUUCUGUUGUAAGGGAAGAACAAGUGCCGCAGGCAAUGGCGGCACCUUGACGGUACCUUGCGAGAAAGCCACGGCUAACUACGUGCCAGCAGCCGCCGUAA
Molecule: ribosomal RNA, 524 nt
Filed under: uncultured bacterium
Lineage: Bacteria
Description: partial 16S ribosomal RNA
Rfam family: Bacterial small subunit ribosomal RNA
Source: RNAcentral